Populus trichocarpa (black cottonwood) is the source of this 150-nucleotide non-coding RNA. The record is from Rfam. NCBI's taxonomy places the organism in Eukaryota, Viridiplantae, Streptophyta, Magnoliopsida, Malpighiales, Salicaceae.
UAAUUUAUUUAUGGCAAAUCCUCAUUUAGUUAUGGCAGACCUACAUCUGACUACUUAGAAUCACCCGUUAUCGCAAGUCUGAUUACAAUAACUUUUUGAGAUUUUUUAGUCUACAAGUUGGACAAAAAUAUAUAUUUUGACUCAUAAAAU